GAAACGGUUCUUUUCAGGACCACCAAAUUGUUUGAAAAAAAAUGAAU
This is a non-coding RNA of Anopheles farauti, 47 nucleotides long. The record is from Rfam. NCBI's taxonomy places the organism in Eukaryota, Metazoa, Arthropoda, Insecta, Diptera, Culicidae.